UUCAACCCUCCCGGAAUCCGAGCGUGGGUCCAGGGCCGGGAAGAAAAGAAAGUCACCCAGGACUACAAUUCCCACAAUGCACUUCAUGGGCUUCUCUGACGUGUGCUCUUGGAAAACGUAGUCCAUUGUGGGGCAAGAUUUAAAAAUGCAGGAGGGAGGUGGGAGGGCCAAAGUCAGAGAAGAGGAGAUGCUAUUUCUGAAAGAGGACCAUGAACCAAAGGAUGCAGAUAGACUCUAGAAGCUAGAAACAGCAAAGAAUAGAUUAUCCCUGGAGCCUCUGGAAGGAACACAGCCCUGCCAACUUCGUGAUUUUGGCCUUGGAAGUUCCAUUUUUGGACUUCUGACAUUCAGAACUGCUUCACACCCAGUGCAGAGCCCAAUGUGGGACUUGAACUCACGACCCUGAGAUCAAGACCUGAGCUGAGAUCAAGAGUCUGAUGCUUAAUUGACUGGGCCAUCCAGGUGCCCUAACUCUCCCCAUUCUUAAUUGGUGAGUAACACCAUCUACCCUGUUGUUGCCCAUGCCAAAUGGUUGGGAAUUAUUCUUGAUUCAUCUCCCUGUAUGAUUGACAUCUAGUUAUUCCCCAAUUCUGUCAAUUUGAUGUAUUUUAUAUCUUUUUAGUCUAUCCAUUAUUUUAAGCUCUACUUGCAAUAACAGGAAGUGGAAGAUGCUUGAAGGAGUUGCCAGGACAGGGGCUGUAUCAGAAUUUAACAAUUCAGAGACAAUCUGCCCCACAUCGAGCUCUGUACUGAUAGCACAGAGCCUGCUUGGAAUUCUCUCUCUCUCUCUCUCUCUCUCUCUCUCUCUCUGUCACUCCCCAACACUCACUCUCUCUGUUUUUCAAAAUAAAUAAAUAAACAUUAACAAAAAGAAUUCAGAGACAUUUCAGUUCCAAAUGAUGAAAAGGAUAUCAUAUGCAGUGACUGGAGAUUAAUGGAUACCUUAGUCUGUUUAUAUUUUUAAUUUUUUUUUAACGUUUAUUUAUUUUUGAGACAGAGAGAGACAGAGCAUGAACGAGGGAGGGUCAGAUAGAGGGAGACACAGAAUCUGAAACAGGCUCCAGGCUCUGAGGUGUCAGCACAGAGCCCGACACGGGGCUCGAACUCACGGACCGUGAGAUCAUGACCUGAGCCGAAGUC
Molecule: long non-coding RNA, 1140 nt
Organism: Neofelis nebulosa (Clouded leopard)
Lineage: Eukaryota; Metazoa; Chordata; Mammalia; Carnivora; Felidae
Exons: 3
Source: RefSeq, a predicted model, not a curated record